AUGCUCCUCCGUUCUGGGCGGCGCCUGGCCGCCCAGGAAGAACCGGGGCGGACGGCCCCGCCGAGGAGGAGAAGCAGGGCAAGGUCGGACCGGCUCGCCGUCAUCCCCGAUGAGAUCCUGCAGCAGGAGAUCCUGCCCCGCCUCCCGGCCAAGUCCGUGCUCCGCUUCCGCGCCGUCUGCCGGUCCUGGCGCAGCCUCGCGUCCGACCCCGCCUUCCUCCUCGACCACCACCGCCGCCAGCCGGCGCUUCCCCUGAUCAGGUCCUGCCGGAUCUCCGGCCGCGGCCUCGAAUCCGGCCUCAACGCCAUCCACCUCCGGUCCGCCAAGCUCGGCCCCUCUUUGCAGUUCCCAUUCCGCGGCUCUUUCGGCGUCGCCGCCUCCUGCGACGGCCUUUUCGUCGUCGGCAGCUACAUCAUCUGCAAUCCGGCCACGCGCGAGUGGGCUGCCCUCCGGCAGGACAGGAAGCCCAUAGAGAAUCUCUUCGCCCUCUUCCAGCACCAACCUUCAGGGGAGAUCCGCGUCAUGUACUGGAAAAACAACUCCACAGAGUUGAUCUGUCGGCAGGAGUAUUACGUCCUCACGGUGGGAACCAACAAUUCAUGGCUCGUCGAUUGUCCGCUAACCGAGGUGUUGGCCGAGGAACCAUCCAUCUUUGGUGCGCCGGUCCUCCUCAAUGGCAGCCUGCACAUACACUGGAGGAGACGGUCAGGUCUUCGCUACCACAGGAUACGGGUGUUCGACACAGUGGCAGAGACGUCACGGCAGAUGACUCCGCCGCCUGUGAACCCCCGCCAUGUUAUGCACUUGCUUGACCUGGGUGGCAAGCUUGCUGCGUCCACCAGCAAGGAUGGCAUGACUGAGAUGUCCAUCUUUGCGCUUCAGGACCCUGAGCAUGAUGUCUGGGCAUUCCAGUACCGGAUCAAACUGCCGGUGAUGGAAAUCAGGCGCUUCCAGAAGCAAGGUGAUUGGUGGGCAAAGGUUGUCUCCGAGGAGGGGGACGUGCUUGUCAGCUGCUAUGGCCAUCUCCUGCAGUAUGACAAGAAGGGUAAUUUGGUAGCUAAGUUCAAGUAUGAUGAUGACAUGCCGGUGGUCAUUCCUCACAGGUUCAAAGAGAGUCUUAUCCAGCAUACAUUUUUCCAAAAGACAAAGAAGAAGAAUUGA
RNAcentral lists this ribosomal RNA (1161 nucleotides) under Triticum aestivum (bread wheat). RNAcentral describes it as "partial small subunit ribosomal RNA". Lineage: Eukaryota; Viridiplantae; Streptophyta; Magnoliopsida; Poales; Poaceae. The record is from RNAcentral.